UAUAAUGUUGGCUGUCCAGAUGCCUAAAAAGCAUCUGUUAGCAAGGGCCGGGCAAGACCGGUGCCAGCCGCCGCGGUAACACCGGCGGCCCGAGUGGUAACCGCUAUUAUUGGGUCUAAAGGGUCUGUAGCCGGCCAGGUAAGUCCCUUGGGAAAUCUGGCAGCUCAACUGUCAGGCUGCUAGGGGAUACUGUUUGGCUUGGGACCGGGAGAGGUGAGAGGUACCUUGGGGGUAGGGGUGAAAUCUUGUAAUCC
RNAcentral lists this ribosomal RNA (254 nucleotides) under uncultured Methanosaeta sp. Its description in RNAcentral is "partial 16S ribosomal RNA". It matches the Rfam family "Archaeal small subunit ribosomal RNA", at positions 396 to 648 of the family's 1478-position model. The record is from RNAcentral. Lineage: Archaea; Methanobacteriati; Methanobacteriota; Methanomicrobia; Methanotrichales; Methanotrichaceae.